GACGAACGCUGGCGGCGUGCUUAACACAUGCAAGUCGAACGGAAAGGCCCUGCUUUUGUGGGUUGCUCGAGUGGCGAACGGGUGCGUAACACGUUAGUACCCUUCCCUUGACUUUGGGAUAACUUCAGGAAACUGGGGCUAAUACCGGAUAGGAGCUCCUGCUGCAUGGUGGGGGUUGGAAAGUUUCGGCGGUUGUGGAUGGACUCGCGGCUUAUCCGCUUGUUGGUGGGGUAGUGGCUUACCAAGGCUUUGACGGGUAGCCGGCCUGAGAGGGUGACCGGCCAAAUGGGGACUGAGAUACGGCCCAGACUCCUACGGGAGGCAGCAGUGGGGAAUAGUGCACAAUGGGGGGAAGCCGGAUGCAGCAACGCCGCGUGCGGGAUGACGGCCUGCGGGUUGUAAACCGCUUUCGCCUGUGACGAAGAGUGAGUGACGGUAAUGGGUAAAGAAGCACCGGCUAACUACGUG
Molecule: ribosomal RNA, 468 nt
Filed under: uncultured bacterium
Lineage: Bacteria
Description: partial 16S ribosomal RNA
Rfam family: Bacterial small subunit ribosomal RNA
Source: RNAcentral